This 290-nucleotide ribosomal RNA is filed under the name uncultured bacterium. Its description in RNAcentral is "partial 16S ribosomal RNA". It matches the Rfam family "Bacterial small subunit ribosomal RNA", at positions 775 to 1067 of the family's 1533-position model. The record is from RNAcentral.
GGAUUAGAUACCCUGGUAGUCCACGCUGUAAACGAUGAUAACUCGCUGUUGGCGAUAUACUGUCAGCGGCCAAGCGAAAGCGUUAAGUUAUCCACCUGGGGAGUACGAUCGCAAGGUUGAAACUCAAAGGAAUUGACGGGGGCCCGCACAAGCGGUGGAGCAUGUGGUUUAAUUCGAUGCAACGCGAAGAACCUUACCUGGCCUUGACAUCCAGAGAACUUUCCAGAGAUGGAUUGGUGCCUUCGGGAACUCUGAGACAGGUGCUGCAUGGCUGUCGUCAGCUCGUGCUG